UACGAAGGGGGCUAGCGUUGUUCGGAAUUACUGGGCGUAAAGCGCACGUAGGCGGAUUUGUAAGUCAGGGGUGAAAUCCCGGGGCUCACCUCGGAACUGCCUUUGAUACUGCAAGUCUCGAGUCCGAUAGAGGUGAGUGGAAUUCCUAGUGUAGAGGUGAAAUUCGUAGAUAUUAGGAAGAACACCAGUGGCGAAGGCGGCUCACUGGAUCGGUACUGACGCUGAGACACGAAAGCGUGGGUAGCAAACAAG
Molecule: ribosomal RNA, 252 nt
Filed under: uncultured bacterium
Lineage: Bacteria
Description: partial 16S ribosomal RNA
Rfam family: Bacterial small subunit ribosomal RNA
Source: RNAcentral